GGGCAAAUGUCUGAGAGGUUUAAGGUUCCAGUCUUGAAAACUGGUAAGAAUAAUAUUCUUCGCAAGUUCGAAUCUUGCUUUGUCCG
RNAcentral lists this transfer RNA (86 nucleotides) under Phycisphaerae bacterium. RNAcentral describes it as "tRNA-Ser". It matches the Rfam family "tRNA". From Rfam's summary of the family: Transfer RNA (tRNA) molecules are approximately 80 nucleotides in length. The record is from RNAcentral. Lineage: Bacteria; Pseudomonadati; Planctomycetota; Phycisphaerae.